This 88-nucleotide transfer RNA is filed under the name Planctomycetota bacterium. RNAcentral describes it as "Planctomycetes bacterium tRNA-Ser". It matches the Rfam family "tRNA". From Rfam's summary of the family: Transfer RNA (tRNA) molecules are approximately 80 nucleotides in length. Their secondary structure includes four short double-helical elements and three loops (D, anti-codon, and T loops). The record is from RNAcentral. Lineage: Bacteria; Pseudomonadati; Planctomycetota.
GGAGAGGUGUCCGAGUGGCCGAAGGAGCACGCUUGGAAAGCGUGUGUGUCGCAAGGCACCGAGGGUUCGAAUCCCUCCCUCUCCGCCA